Megachile rotundata (alfalfa leafcutting bee) is the source of this 1099-nucleotide long non-coding RNA. The record is from RefSeq and is a predicted model, not a curated record. Lineage: Eukaryota; Metazoa; Arthropoda; Insecta; Hymenoptera; Megachilidae.
GGGGGACCUGUAAUCAUUUCAAUGAUAUAGACCUCGUUCCAGCUGGUUAUGUACCGCAAGAUACGUGUAUUAACUGGACGAAGAAUUUUAGAUAUUUACUUUUGUCCCGGAAAAUGAGCCGUUUGAAUGCGGGACAUUUCUGAAGAAAAUGAAGAUAAUAGAUGAAACAAUAUGAUAUUUUUUCCUGUAGUCUGUGGACAAAAUAAGAGUUUCCUAAUAUUUGAUGGUUAGGUGACUGACGGUGUUAGAAGGUACGCGUUCGAAGUACGCUGAAUCGCGAUGCAUUUUCCCACGUAUCGUUUUAAUCGUUAUAACUUUUUCAUUGUUAGGGUUCAAAUCACUAAAGUCGAAAAGAGAAACAUUUAUAGUUUAUUAAAUAUUUACUAGUUUAUUAGUUUAUUAUGUAUAUGUGCAACGUAACAUUCAGAUAUUUUUGACACUUUACGAGCACGUGCUUAUUGCAGACAAACGUUGCGUAAACUGCGUUACAAGAUCGCCCGAAACAAAAUAAAGUAAAAGAUGCGCACUCUUGCGUCCGAUUCGGAUAACACGUGUUUUCACGUCAAGCAUGAAAUGAGUCGUUUAUUUUGAAAGUGAAGCAAGUCCAUUUUUGAAACAAAUGAAAAUAUAUAAAAUUUCGUGUGAUAUUUGCAUCUGUAAACAAUCUGUAGCCAAAAUGAUUGAAAUUCUAAUAUUACGGUAUGAUUUAGCUCCGGUAAAUGGUAAUACGAACAAUGCUGUCAGAAACUAUUAAUUGUAUAAUAUUGGCAUAACCUUAACAUGAGCGGGGACCUGUAAAUCUAUCUAGUUCUUGUUUCAGUAUUGGUGCACAAACCCCUUAACAAUUUCUGCGUUAUUCAAAAAUUAAUUACGAAUAGUGGUUUAUUUUAUUUAAAAACGUUUGAUUCAAUGUUUUCAACAAAAAUUGUAACUGUGAUCUGAAGAUGAAGGUUUAUAGAAAUGAGAUUCAUGGGAAUUGGUAAUAAAAGAAGAAUCUUGGAAUCAGGAUUUGAACAUGAAGACAAUUCGAAGCAAAAUAAUUAAUUAAUUAAUUAAUUAUGGAUUAUAGAAAUUAUUUAUAAUAUUUCACUAACACUUA